RNA transcript from Artibeus jamaicensis (Jamaican fruit-eating bat), 3909 nucleotides. It is a transcript of the gene named histone H2A type 1-H, with no coding region annotated. The record is from RefSeq and is a predicted model, not a curated record. The transcript has 2 exons. NCBI's taxonomy places the organism in Eukaryota, Metazoa, Chordata, Mammalia, Chiroptera, Phyllostomidae.
AUGUCUGGACGCGGAAAGCAGGGUGGCAAGGCGCGCGCCAAGGCCAAGACACGCUCGUCGCGGGCCGGGCUGCAGUUCCCCGUGGGCCGCGUGCACCGCCUGCUCCGCAAGGGCAACUACGCCGAGCGGGUCGGGGCCGGCGCGCCCGUCUACCUGGCGGCCGUGCUGGAGUACCUGACGGCCGAGAUCCUGGAGCUGGCGGGCAACGCGGCGCGCGACAACAAGAAGACGCGCAUCAUCCCGCGCCACCUGCAGCUGGCCAUCCGCAACGAUGAGGAGCUCAACAAGCUGCUGGGCAAGGUGACCAUCGCGCAGGGUGGGGUGCUGCCCAACAUCCAGGCCGUGCUGCUGCCCAAGAAGACCGAGAGCCACCACAAGGCCAAGUAAGGAGGGACCAGGUAAAGAACUCUAGGAAACAAAGGCUCUUUUCAGAGCCAUUCACGCUGUCAUAGAGAACUGGUGCACACAACUUGCCGUAUUCUUUUACCAGUCAUUUCCACUUUACUUAGGGCUUAAUUCCAAGGAGCACUAGAUUUUGUUUUAUUGUUUUAACAUCAUAAGUUGCACACUCAUGUUGGUAAAUUCGGGAUCCUAUUCCUUUGGAAAACGUGUAUUUCCUGAGUUCACAGCAGCUGAGGUUACAACAGAGAAUGCAUGGUAGAGAACAGCCUCCAUGCCAGCCGGGGUGAAGGAGACACAUGUAAACGUGUGCUGUCAGGUGAUGGGUGUGCGGUUUAAGACAAUAACGGGGUGAGCUACAGAGCACAAUGGGGCUAUUUUGGAUUGAGAGUGAGUGGAAAUAAACUGGGAAGUGAGUAGAGAAAGGGCCGUGGCAGGUAGACCUGGUGGCACGCCGAUCCUAUGGUGGUUAGCACUGUGUUGGGGCCACGGCAACCUUGGUGGGAGUCUGAGUUAAGGCAGGAGCUUGAGGUUGUACGUGCACCUCCCCACCUUCUCAACUGCAGUGCAGACUGCAAAGCCCAUCCGAAGAUGAAUGGAUUUGUAAUCUACUCAACGAAGAGAGACAAGUGCACAUCUCAUUGGGCUGCCUCACCACCCCCUUAAGCCAAAGACAGUGCCCGUUACUUUUGUGUGUUUGUUUGUUCGUUUGUUUUUCUCUUUCUCUUCAGUGCUUCUCUUCCUAACUCUACUCAGGUCCGGUUGGUAUUGGCUAGGAGUCCUGAAGAAGAAACUGAGGAGUCACAGAGGGGCAGGUGGAGCGGGCAAGGUGGGUGUGGAGGAGAGUUGACCUGAGGAGGGGAGGUGACUGGAGACAAGGAAGUUCGCAGAGGAGCUUCCGUGGGCCCACUUGUCCGCAGCACCCCACUCAUACACACAAAUGACACAUCUCCCCUGGACUCGUGGAUUGUGGGAGCUCAAAAACUACUGUCUUCUAUCUCCUUUCUCAUGUUGUGAGCAGCUUAUUAAAAGUUCCAGCACAAUGACAUCUUCUUUGAUUUCUCAAAGCCUUCCCUUAUGGCUAAAUUAGCCUCAUCCUUUCCCAUCUGUCUACCUGAGGCAAAUUCUAAAACUCACUCAGAGGAGACUUAAGAGGUUUUGUAACUGAGCUGAAAUGUAUCUUUGGAGGUCAUCCCCCCAGCUGCCCAGUUUUAAGGCUGCUUCCUAGUCUUCUUCACUGUAUCACAUCUGCCUCGACUUCCCCUGUACUGAAUGCUAUUUCUACUCCAUUUUGCAUGUGUGAGGAUGGGUACCUGUCCGUCUGGACCCAGAGGAACCAGUUCCUGACACUGCCGCUCUGGGUGAGCAUCAGUAGCAUGUCCGCUGUAAACUGAGCGGGAGUGGUUAUGAAAUUAAAUUGGACCUUUGCCAUGAGUCCAUGAAUAUCGAUUGGUCUGGGAGCUUCCUACACAACUGGCCCUCUUAGUCUUGAAGUGUGAGGCCCAGGAACAGAAAUGCCUAUCUGUGAUCAGGCCUGGAGAAGCACGGUCCCCUGAGAGGAACAAGCACAGGCGACCUUGAUGAGAGCAGAGAGAAAUGCUGACUUGUGGAUUCUUCCUGAGUUUGUUGUGUAUAGAAGUGAGGUUGGGGAGGACACACGGUGUAAAGGUUUUCAUAGGUUUCUCUUGCUUUUACUAAGGAACUGCAACCAUCAAGGGCAACAAAUACCACCACACACUCGAGGCCAGAGGCCUGUUCCCUGAUUUUAGGAGAAUAACCCUGGAGUCUUCUUCCUGAUAGAUGGGGGCUGGAGUUGGACUUUGUAGGAGGCCACGCUGGUCUGCAGCCCCUGAUCGGUCCCACCCACACAUUUCUCCACUGAGGGUCCUCUCUUCACCCAGUUCCUGGAUUUUAGGAAUUCCUGUGGACUUGGCACUUUUGAAGAGAGAGGAUGGGCCUCUCAGAGGUGUCUCCAGCUCAGGCUUACCUAAAACUUAUUCCUCUAACUCUCACGGAGUCUGGAGAAGCAGAAAUACCAGUAUUCUUGGUGAGAAGCUGAUGUUCUAUUGCCAGCCAGUGUGGGUACAGGCGGGGGCAGAAAAUCCACCUAUUGUUGGUUCUACUGGGGAUCAAACCCAGGACCUUCUGUGUGCAAAGCGGAUGUGCUAACUGCUGCACUAUAGAACCAUCUCCCAAGGAGGUCCACGUUUCUAAGUAAGUGCGUAGAAAAAUGUUUACGUUUGAUUCAAAGAUAAUUUUGGAAUGUGCGGUUUUUGUUUUUGGUGUUAAAUUACAUUUCCCGUGCAUCUUCCUAGCAAGUAGAGUCAUUGUAAACACAGGGGGAAAGAUUAUCUAAAACCUCAUUCUUCAUCCUUGAAACACUUCCACGUCCCUCCAUUCAUUCCCAGAUUAUUUAUUGUGAGCGUCCACCACACCACGUGCCCAGUAUAUGUCGAGGGGCUGCAGACAGAGCGGAACACAAUUAGAACCCUGGUAGGCAAGCACCUUACACUGUGGGGUCUACACCAUCUGUCAGUCAACAGGUGCUGGAUAAACGGAUCUUUAUAAACGGAAGAGCACUGUUCCCAUGACCUCCCUUUACUUACAACUGGGGCAGAACCAGCCGCUGGGGACUGCUCACUGAGUUAUGCUUAGGGUGUUUGUGUUCGAAAUGGGAGGCAAAUGUUUUGCAUUGGAGGAGGUCAGAGGAUGCUACCCUCAAAUACAUAUGCCUCUGACAUAUUAAUUACUUUGAAUUAAUAGAUGCAAUUACUUUGAAUAAACAGAUGGAAAAACAAGGGAGUGCAUUACGGCCCUUAUUUUCCUUUCUAAAAGCAGGAGAUAAAAUUCCCACGUGAAAAGUAUGUUUCUACACCAGGAGGAAGAAACAUUUUUAUCACCAGAGACAGGAAGUUGAGACUCAGAGAAAUCUGGAUGCCCACCACUUAUUAACCACUUAUUAAACGAACCUCAUCUUCCUAGUCACUUUUCUUCUAACUGCCCUGGCCCCUUGGUCUCGUCAAGUGUUCGUGUGUGUCCAGCCUGGUGUGUAAUUGUUGCUUCCCAGAGACUUUUUUUUUGUGCAGGCUCUCAUGUGCAUGUAAAAAUUAUUUAAUAAUAAAAUGUGUAUGUUCUUUUCCUAUUAAUCUAUGUCAUAUCUUUUUAAUUCUUAGACCCAGAGAAAGACCCUAAGAGAGUGGAGGAAGAGUUUUCCCUCCCUUACACAGUCUCUCUCCCACUCUCCAUUCUGUGACACAGCAUUCAUCUGACAAGUCUCAGACUCUCGGCUCUGCCCUCCAGAGCCGUUGCGAGUGUUGGGACCCUUUCCAUAGCCAAGUUGCUGGUGAGGCCACCAGGCUAAGGAGGUUGUCUGUGGGCCACUGAUCCUAGCAGCUCCUCUGUGUUGUCCAAGGCCUUCUCGAUUUCAUUCCUUAAAAUCAAAUUACAGUAGACUUAGACACUGAUAGACUGAGGGUGAUUAUACCAAAUCGAUGGUGAGCUUCGAUUGUG